This 348-nucleotide unclassified non-coding RNA is filed under the name soil metagenome. Its description in RNAcentral is "partial contains 5.8S ribosomal RNA, internal transcribed spacer 2, and large subunit ribosomal RNA". The stretch from base 1 to 121 matches the Rfam family "5.8S ribosomal RNA", at positions 35 to 154 of the family's 154-position model. The record is from RNAcentral.
GAUGAAGAACGCAGCGAAAUGCGAUAAGUAAUGCGAAUUGCAGAAUUUCCGUGAGUCAUCGAAUCUUUGAACGCACAUUGCGCCCAUUGGCAUUCCGAUAGGCAUGCCUGUUCGAGCGUCAUUAUCCUCCCUCAAACCCCUGGGUUUGGUGUUGGACUGUGUGGUGCCUGGCACCACUGGUCUCAAAGACAAUGACGGCGUCCGUGGGACCCUCGGUGCAACGAGCUUUUCGAAGCACGCGUCGAGUGGACAGUCUCUCCGGGCCGGUCACCUCUCCAAUUUUUCUCAGGUUGACCUCGGAUCAGGUAGGAAUACCCGCUGAACUUAAGCAUAUCAAUAAGCGGAGGA